UUAUCAAGAAUUUAAUUGCCGAACAAAUAAACUUGAUUCAACACAAGAUGUAUUUCGUAGUUUUUUGGGAUAAAACGUCUGCAAUCGUACCUGCAUCAUGGGUAGAUUCAGAAUCUCGAACUUUCAAGUGGCCGAAAACAAAAAAUCCUACCUUACUAAUUAUUCGAGCUGAUAACCCUAAAGAUAAUUGGAUCACUUAUAAUUAUGUUCAACUCUGCGGUCCAUUUGGCAUAUGACGAAGCGCGUGAAUUCGAAUUAGAUGCCCUAAAUCUGUCUACAAAUGAUGAUGAAGGUUUUGCUGCUAUUAAAACAAAUAAAAAAUUAGAAAUGGUAGAUAAAGGAAAAAGAAACUGCAAUAAACAUUUACGCUCUUGUGAUACAGAAG
This is a long non-coding RNA of Papilio machaon (common yellow swallowtail), 385 nucleotides long. RefSeq lists it as uncharacterized. The transcript has 3 exons. NCBI's taxonomy places the organism in Eukaryota, Metazoa, Arthropoda, Insecta, Lepidoptera, Papilionidae. The record is from RefSeq and is a predicted model, not a curated record.